RNAcentral lists this ribosomal RNA (116 nucleotides) under Mannheimia cairinae. Lineage: Bacteria; Pseudomonadati; Pseudomonadota; Gammaproteobacteria; Pasteurellales; Pasteurellaceae. The record is from RNAcentral.
UCUGGCGACCAUAGUGCUGUGGUGCUACCUGACUCCAUUCCGAACUCAGAAGUAAAAUGCAGUAACGCCGAUGGUAGUGUAGUGUUUCGCUAUGUGAGAGUAGGACAUCGCCAGAU